AUUGAACGCUGGCGGCAUGCCUUACACAUGCAAGUCGAACGGUAACAGGUCUUCGGAUGCUGACGAGUGGCGAACGGGUGAGUAAUACAUCGGAACGUGCCUAGUAGUGGGGGAUAACUACUCGAAAGAGUGGCUAAUACCGCAUGAGAUCUACGGAUGAAAGCAGGGGAUCGCAAGACCUUGUGCUACUAGAGCGGCCGAUGGCAGCUUAGGUAGUUGGUGGGAUAAAAGCUGACCAAGCCGACGAUCUGUAGCUGGUCUGAGAGGACGAUCAGCCACACUGGGACUGAGACACGGCCCAGACCCGUACGGGAGGCAGCAGUGGGGAAUUUUGGACAAUGGGCGCAAGCCUGAUACAGAAAUGCCGCGUGCAGGAUGAAGGCCUUCGGGUUGUAAACUGCUUUUGUACGGAACGAAAAGCCCUGGGUUAAUAACCUGGGGUCAUGACGGUACCGUAAGAAUAAGCACCGGCUAACUACGUGCCAGCAGCCGCCGUAA
This 498-nucleotide ribosomal RNA is filed under the name uncultured bacterium. Its description in RNAcentral is "partial 16S ribosomal RNA". It matches the Rfam family "Bacterial small subunit ribosomal RNA", at positions 30 to 523 of the family's 1533-position model. The record is from RNAcentral.